CGAUGCCGAUCAGGCGAUCGCCGGUGGUUUCGCCCUCCGCAAGGAGGGAGUGACCGCGGGAGGAAAGUCCGAGCUCCACAGAGUGCGAUGCCGGGUAACGCCCGGUCGCGGAAACGCGAAGGAAAGUGCAACAGAGAAAGACCGCCCUUCUGAUACCUUUCGAGUUCGCGCGCUCGCGCGCGUCCUUCGAGUGAGGUCCGGAGGGUAAGGGUGAAACGGCGGGGUAAGAGCCCACCGCGUCUUCGGUAACGAAGGCGGCACGGCAGACCCCAUCGGGAGCAAGGCCACGUAGGCGGGCGAGCGAUGGCAACAUCGCAAAGGGCGACUCGCCCGAGCUCGCGGGUAGGCUGCUCGAGGCGUCCGGUAACGGCCGCCCUAGAGGAAUGACCGCCGCCGCGUGCGGGAUGACUCGCAAGCGGAACAGAACUCGGCUUACGAACGACGUCGACCU
This 451-nucleotide RNase P RNA is filed under the name Labilithrix luteola. RNAcentral describes it as "Bacterial RNase P class A". It matches the Rfam family "Bacterial RNase P class A". From Rfam's summary of the family: Ribonuclease P (RNase P) is a ubiquitous endoribonuclease, found in archaea, bacteria and eukarya as well as chloroplasts and mitochondria. Its best characterised activity is the generation of mature 5'-ends of tRNAs by cleaving the 5'-leader elements of precursor-tRNAs. Cellular RNase Ps are ribonucleoproteins. Lineage: Bacteria; Pseudomonadati; Myxococcota; Polyangiales; Labilitrichaceae. The record is from Rfam by way of RNAcentral.